AUUAGGAAUUGGCGGGGGAGCACCGCAACGGGAGGAGCGUGCGGUUCAAUUGGAUUCAACGCCGGACAACUCACCAGGAGCGACGGUUACAUGAAGGCCAGGCUGAUGACCUUGCCUGAUUUUCCGAGAGGUGGUGCAUGGCCGUCGUCAGUUCGUACCGUAAGGCGUUCUCUUAAGUGAGAUAACGAACGAGACCCUCACCGCUAAUUGCUAGUGUUCUCUCCGGAGGGCACGCACAUUAACGGGACCGCUGUCGCUAAGACAGAGGAAGGAGAGGUCAACGGUAGGUCCGUAUGCCCCGAAUCUCCUGGGCCACACGCGCGCUACAAAGGUUGGGACAAUGGGCUCCGACAUCGAAAGGUGAAGGCAAUCUCGAAACCCAAUCGUAGUUCGGAUUGAGGGUUGUAACUCACCCUCAUGAAGCUGGAUUCCGUAGUAAUCGCUUGUCAACAUCAAGCGGUGAAUAUGCCCCUGCUCCUUGCACACACCGCCCGUCAAU
This 499-nucleotide ribosomal RNA is filed under the name uncultured archaeon. RNAcentral describes it as "bacterial SSU rRNA". It matches the Rfam family "Archaeal small subunit ribosomal RNA", at positions 857 to 1357 of the family's 1478-position model. The record is from RNAcentral.